RNAcentral lists this ribosomal RNA (450 nucleotides) under uncultured Sulfuricurvum sp. RNAcentral describes it as "bacterial SSU rRNA". It matches the Rfam family "Bacterial small subunit ribosomal RNA", at positions 933 to 1382 of the family's 1533-position model. Lineage: Bacteria; Pseudomonadati; Campylobacterota; Epsilonproteobacteria; Campylobacterales; Sulfurimonadaceae. The record is from RNAcentral.
UGGAGCAUGUGGUUAAUUCGAAGAUACACGAAGAACCUUACCUGGCCUUGACAUGGUAGGAACCCUUAAGAGAUUAGGGGUGCUAGCUUGCUAGAACCUACACACAGGUGCUGCACGGCUGUCGUCAGCUCGUGUCGUGAGAUGUUGGGUUAAGUCCCGCAACGAGCGCAACCCUCGUCCUUAGUUGCUAACAGUUCGGCUGAGCACUCUAGGGAGACUGCCUUCGCAAGGAGGAGGAAGGUGAGGACGACGUCAAGUCAUCAUGGCCCUUACGGCCAGGGCUACACACGUGCUACAAUGGGUGGUACAAAGAGAAGCCAACUCGCGAGAGCGCGCCAAUCUCAAAAAGCCAUCCUCAGUUCGGAUUGGAGUCUGCAACUCGACUCCAUGAAGUUGGAAUCGCUAGUAAUCGCGGAUCAGCAUGCCGCGGUGAAUACGUUCCCGGGCCUU